GUGGGGAAUAUUCCGCAAUGGACGAAAGUCUGACGGAGCAACGCCGCGUGAGUGAUGAAGGUUUUCGGACUGUAUAGCUCUGUUGUUUAGGACGAAAGUGCCUGCAGCAAACAGUUGCAGGUAUUGACGGUACUGAACGAGGAAGCCACGGCUAACUACGUGCCAGCAGCCGCGGUAAUACGUAGGUGGCAAGCGUUGUCCGGAAUUAUUGGGCGUAAAGAGCAUGUAGGCGGGAAUCUAAGUCUGUUGUGAAAAUGCGGGGCUCAACCCCGUAUGGCGAUGGAAACUGGAUUUCUUGAGUGCAGGAGAGGGAAGGGGAAUUCCCAGUGUAGCGGUGAAAUGCGUAGAUAUUGGGAGGAACACCAGGGGCGAAGGCGCCUUUCUGGACUGUGUCUGACGCUGAGAUGCGAAAGCCAGGGUAGCGAACGGGAUUAGAUACCCUGGUAGUCC
RNAcentral lists this ribosomal RNA (450 nucleotides) under uncultured bacterium. RNAcentral describes it as "partial 16S ribosomal RNA". It matches the Rfam family "Bacterial small subunit ribosomal RNA", at positions 354 to 796 of the family's 1533-position model. The record is from RNAcentral.